CUGCGAGAGUGGCUGGGGCGACUGGAGGCUGCAGUGAUGGAGCUCAGAGAACAGAAUAAGGACCUGCAGACGAGGGUGAGGCAGCUGGAGUCCUGUGAGUGCCACCCUGCAUCUCCCCAGUGCUGGGGGCUGGGGCGUGCCUGGCCCGAGGGGGCACGCUGGGAGCCUGACGCCUGCACAGCCUGCGUCUGCCAGGAUGGGGCCGCUCACUGUGGCCCCCAAGCACACCUGCCCCAUUGCAGGGGCUGCAGCCAAAAUGGCCAGACCUACGGCAACGGGGAGACCUUCUCCCCAGAUGCCUGCACCACCUGCCGCUGUCUGGAAGGUACCAUCACUUGCAACCAGAAGCCAUGCCCAAGAGGACCCUGCCCUGAGCCAGGAGCAUGCUGCCCGCACUGUAAGCCAGGCUGUGAUUAUGAGGGGCAGCUUUAUGAGGAGGGGGUCACCUUCCUGUCCAGCUCCAACCCUUGUCUACAGUGCACCUGCCUGAGGAGCCGAGUUCGCUGCAUGGCCCUGAAGUGCCCGCCUAGCCCCUGCCCAGAGCCAGUGCUGAGGCCUGGGCACUGCUGCCCAACCUGCCAAGGCUGCACAGAAGGUGGCUCUCACUGGGAACAUGGCCAAGAGUGGACAACACCUGGGGACCCCUGCCGAAUCUGCCGGUGCCUGGAGGGUCACAUCCAGUGCCGCCAGCGAGAAUGUGCCAGCCUGUGUCCAUACCCAGCCCGGCCCCUCCCAGGCACCUGCUGCCCUGUGUGUGAUGAAUGGGAGUGUCCAGUGUGAGCCUCUGCCCUGCCCGCCAGUGCCCUGCAGACACCCAGGCAAGAUCCCUGGGCAGUGCUGCCC
Molecule: long non-coding RNA, 843 nt
Filed under: Homo sapiens (human)
Lineage: Eukaryota; Metazoa; Chordata; Mammalia; Primates; Hominidae
Description: non-protein coding lnc-TNPO3-1:11
Source: RNAcentral